AAAAAAAAAAACAGAGUCUCUGAUUCCCCUCAUCUCUCCCAGAUCGCCGCCACCUCUCCCUCUUCCGAUCCACCUCACCGCCGGCCAUUCCCUUCCCCUCAUCCCACCGCGCAGCUCCGGCGGUUGCUGGAUCCAUCGCAUCCCCCACCCACCCAUCCCUCUUGGGUCCCAUCUCUACCUCUCUUCAUGCGCCUCCUCGCCAUCUGCAUCGGCUAAUUCAGGCGGCGUCCGGCGAAUCCCACCAUCACGAAGCACAGCCCGAGGUCCCCAUCGAAACGCGGCGACGUCCCAUGCGACUAGAUCCGGUGCUCACGGCCACCUCCCCCUGGCCAGGGUUUCGGGCGUCGGCUCCGGCGCCGGUGGCCAGGUCGUCCUCCUCUAGUACUCCUCUCUUCCGGUGCAGGGAGGAACAGGCUACGUGUGAACUCCAUCGUGACGCUACUGACGGUGAUGUCAAUGGACGGGAUGUUCCUCGGCGUCGAUGAGCAUGCACUGAGGCGGGAAGUGGAAAAGGAAUACAUCGCCAAGCGAACUCAAUGGUACGGUUCUGGAGGUGGAGGACGUGGCCAACGUGGCGCUGUACUGGAGUCAACGAGGCUAGGUCGAGCACGACAUGAGUUAAGGCUGAACCUUCUACUUGUGUGUUGCAUAACCACUACUAGACAUCUGAAUAUAUCCAAUGCGACCUCACCCAAAAAGCAUCAAGAUAAUUGAUCAACCUCAAACUAUGUAUUUAGUAACCUCUUCGUUCUGUUAGUUUUCUUGAUUCUCCAUGUCUGCCUGCUGCUUAGAUUAAAAGCAUUUGUUUGGCAGUGGCGGAGCGUGGCAAGAAGUGAAGAAACCAAUAGGGGGCCAUUUUUUUCAAACAAAAUAUGCAUUACUAGGAGCAGUGUGAGCUGAUGGUUCAUUCUUGUUCAACACUGCUCACAAACAGAAGUUGACGAGUAUAUGGAGGUGUUAUUUUUCAACCGGAAGCAUAGCUGCUACUCAUGUAUGCAAGAACGACAGACAGAUUAUUUCCCAACAUAAUUUAAGAAAACCAAGACUGUAAAGGAAUAUAGAAUAAAAGCAUGCAAAAUGAGUGCUUCAGAGUCAUGCGUUGUGGAUCAAGGCAUUGACACAACCGACCCGCCGGCAGCGACAUGCCUCGUCCAUCAAAGGCAUUGGCACAGCCAACCGGCCCACAGCAAUGUCGAGCACGACGGCCACCAUGUCGUGGCCUGAGGGACAUUAGGAUAUUCUCAAUGUGUUGAUCUCGCCGCCGAAGGAGCAGAGACAAUUGGUGCGGCACGAGGUCACGGCCGCGACAACCCUGCAGCCCGCGCACACCAGGUCAAGCGCUUGAUGCAGAACUCAUUGUCGAUACUGGAGGAAGCGCUGUCGCAGCACCAAUAGGUCCUGCAGCCUGCUACACGGUAUUGCUCUGGCCAUUGAUAUGCCAUCAAUUGCAGGCUUCCUGCCUGCUACGGUGCACUGCAGGUCAUCUUCAUACCCACGGUCACACUCACAGCCACCGCGUUGCAACCCCUUUUGGCCUCCAUGAGGCCCCGCCAGUGUUGUGUCGUAUCAUAGGGAAGGUUGCAUAUAUGGACAAUCCCCACAUGCACAACACCAGUCACUGCCUUAAAUACACGUCCAGAACUAAUGCCAAACAUGGAUAAAUCCAUAUCUUAAAUUAUAUGUUCUUAAACAACAGCCAUGCAUGUAAGGACAAGCCACAUAAAUAGGAUUCAGUCAUAUUCUAAUAUGUUUUAUCCUUUUUUAUAAUUGUAAUUUUUUUAUGUCAAUUAUUCUCUAUUGUAGGUAGCUCUCAAACUGCGCGGAGUCAAGAUUGAUGCUAUGGUACCAUUAAUGAUUCCAGCAGAAGAUAUUUGCAACCUGAAGUGUUACACAAGGUCAGCUUCAAGGCUAUGAAGCAAAAGAUCAGACAAAGGUUUUCGCCAUGUUUGUCCUUCAGCUUAGUAACUUGCAUGUUGAUAUGGCACUUGUGAAAACUGAAGAUUUUGUCCGGAGUCGUAAAACAUGUAAUAUUCUCGGUAAUGCAGAAGAAGCAAAGAUUGCAUUGCCUUCAACCUUUAUUCAAAAGAUAUAUGGAUGAUUAUAUGGGUGCGUGGCAAGAAUACUGCAAUGAUGAUGACGGUGUUCUGGUUCAUGAUGAUGAUGAUGAUGAUGAUGAUGAUGAUGGACGCUUUUAGUUGUAGUUAAGUUAGGGAUGUUGUUCCCAUUGGAUGAUGUUCCUGUUCCUUAGUUAAGUUUUUGUUAAGUUGUAGGGAUAUUGAUGGAUGCUUUCAGUAAGCUUUGAUUUCAAGAAAAUAUUUAGA
This is a long non-coding RNA of Triticum aestivum (bread wheat), 2321 nucleotides long. RefSeq lists it as uncharacterized. Lineage: Eukaryota; Viridiplantae; Streptophyta; Magnoliopsida; Poales; Poaceae. The record is from RefSeq and is a predicted model, not a curated record. The transcript has 5 exons.